AUUGAACGCUGGCGGCAGGCCUAACACAUGCAAGUCGAACGGUAACAGGAAGCAGCUUGCUGCUUUGCUGACGAGUGGCGGACGGGUGAGUAAUGUCUGGGAAACUGCCUUAUGGAGGGGGAUAACUACUGGAAACGGUAGCUAAUACCGCAUAACGUCGCAAGACCAAAGAGGGGGACCUUCGGGCCUCUUGCCAUCGGAUGUGCCCAGAUGGGAUUAGCUAGUAGGUGGGGUAAAGGCUCACCUAGGCGACGAUCCCUAGCUGGUCUGAGAGGAUGACCAGCCACACUGGAACUGAGACACGGUCCAGACUCCUACGGGAGGCAGCAGUGGGGAAUAUUGCACAAUGGGCGCAAGCCUGAUGCAGCCAUGCCGCGUGUAUGAAGAAGGCCUUCGGGUUGUAAAGUACUUUCAGCGGGGAGGAAGGGAGUAAAGUUAAUACCUUGGCUCAUUGACGUUACCCGCAGAAGAAGCACCGGCUAACUCCGUG
This 490-nucleotide ribosomal RNA is filed under the name uncultured bacterium. RNAcentral describes it as "partial 16S ribosomal RNA". It matches the Rfam family "Bacterial small subunit ribosomal RNA", at positions 30 to 507 of the family's 1533-position model. The record is from RNAcentral.